RNAcentral lists this ribosomal RNA (457 nucleotides) under marine bacterium 13688. RNAcentral's name for it is "bacterial SSU rRNA". It matches the Rfam family "Bacterial small subunit ribosomal RNA", at positions 19 to 469 of the family's 1533-position model. The record is from RNAcentral. Lineage: Bacteria; Pseudomonadati; Bacteroidota; Flavobacteriia; Flavobacteriales; Flavobacteriaceae.
AUGGCUCAGGAUGAACGCUAGCGGCAGGCUUAACACAUGCAAGUCGAGGGGCAGCGAAUCUAGCUUGCUAGAUGUCGGCGACCGGCGAACGGGUGCGUAACGCGUAUAGAAUCUGCCUUGUACAGGAGGAUAGCCUUUAGAAAUGAAGAUUAAUACUCCAUAAUGUUUAGAGGUGGCAUCAUUUUUAAAUUAAAGAUUUAUUGGUACAAGAUGACUAUGCGUCCUAUUAGCUAGAUGGUAAGGUAACGGCUUACCAUGGCAACGAUAGGUAGGGGGUCUGAGAGGAUUAUCCCCCACACUGGUACUGAGACACGGACCAGACUCCUACGGGAGGCAGCAGUGAGGAAUAUUGGUCAAUGGAGGCAACUCUGAACCAGCCAUGCCGCGUGCAGGAAGACUGCCCUAUGGGUUGUAAACUGCUUUUAUACAGGAAGAAACAGAACUACGUGUAGUUCCG